GACGAACGCUGGCGGCGUGCUUAACACAUGCAAGUCGAACGGUAAGGCCCUUCGGGGUACACGAGUGGCGAACGGGUGAGUAACACGUGGGUGAUCUGCCCUGCAUUUCGGGAUAAGCCUGGGAAACUGGGUCUAAUACCGGAUAGGACCCUGGGAUGCAUGUCCUGGGGUGGAAAGCUUUUGCGGUGUGGGAUGGGCCCGCGGCCUAUCAGCUUGUUGGUGGGGUGAUGGCCUACCAAGGCGACGACGGGCAGCCGGCCUGAGAGGGUGACCGGCCACACUGGGACUGAGAUACGGCCCAGACUCCUACGGGAGGCAGCAGUGGGGAAUAUUGCACAAUGGGCGCAAGCCUGAUGCAGCGACGCCGCGUGAGGGAUGACGGCCUUCGGGUUGUAAACCUCUUUCAGCACCGACGAAGCGCAAGUGACGGUAGGUGCAGAAGAAGGACCGGCCAACUACGUGCCAGCCGCCGCUGUAA
RNAcentral lists this ribosomal RNA (478 nucleotides) under uncultured bacterium. RNAcentral describes it as "partial 16S ribosomal RNA". It matches the Rfam family "Bacterial small subunit ribosomal RNA", at positions 28 to 523 of the family's 1533-position model. The record is from RNAcentral.